RNAcentral lists this non-coding RNA (24 nucleotides) under Arabidopsis thaliana (thale cress). Lineage: Eukaryota; Viridiplantae; Streptophyta; Magnoliopsida; Brassicales; Brassicaceae. The record is from RNAcentral.
GGGGUGUCAAACGGACUGGCCCGC